Molecule: long non-coding RNA, 271 nt
Filed under: Jatropha curcas
Lineage: Eukaryota; Viridiplantae; Streptophyta; Magnoliopsida; Malpighiales; Euphorbiaceae
Description: long non-coding RNA (JCUR_LNC003515)
Source: RNAcentral
AAAAAAUUUGGUCGUGAGAUAAGAUUUUUCAUGACAUAUAGAUGAUGAUUAUCAAAAUGGAUCAACUCAAGUUAUAGAGUGCAAUUCUUUCUAAUAAAAUAUUACUUGGAAUUGUAUGAUACUCACUUUCGCUAACACAAUUUAAAAGCUUCUUUACAAACAUGUCACCUCCUCACCAAAAGGCAUAGAUGGUCAUCAAUUAUUAAUUAACAAAUGAAGGAAAAAAGAAAAGAAAACUGCCAAUAAAGUUCCUUUAAAAAGUUUCCUGUCU